UUAAAAAAAUGCAAACCUGGAGCAAUCCAGCGACGCAAAGCUAUAGGGACCUUCAAUAGGGGGGUUAGCCAGUUGCCACA
This 80-nucleotide non-coding RNA is filed under the name unclassified sequences. Its description in RNAcentral is "c-di-GMP sequence". It matches the Rfam family "c-di-GMP-I riboswitch aptamer". From Rfam's summary of the family: GEMM was predicted in a large-scale screen for bacterial structured RNA regulatory elements. Genes associated with GEMM are involved in a diverse array of functions, including chemotaxis regulation, signal transduction, secretion and chitin. The record is from RNAcentral.